CCUACGGGAGGCAGCAGUAAGGAAUAUUGGUCAAUGGACGGAAGUCUGAACCAGCCAUGCCGCGUGCAGGAAGACGGCCUACGGGUUGUAAACUGCUUUUAUACCGGAAUAUGUACGGUAGGAAUAAGGAUCGGCUAACUCCGUGCCAGCAGCCGCGGUAAUACGGAGGAUCCAAGCGUUAUCCGGAUUUAUUGGGUUUAAAGGGUGCGUAGGCGGCCUUGUAAGUCAGGGGUGAAAGACGGCAGCUUAACUGUCGCAGUGCCUUUGAUACUGCAGGGCUUGAAUACACUUGAAGUGGGCGGAAUGUGACAAGUAGCGGUGAAAUGCAUAGAUAUGUCACAGAACACCGAUUGCGAAGGCAGCUCACUAAUGUGAUUGACGCUGAGGCACGAAAGCGUGGGGAUCAAACAGGAUUAGAUACCCUUGUAGUC
Molecule: ribosomal RNA, 431 nt
Filed under: uncultured bacterium
Lineage: Bacteria
Description: partial 16S ribosomal RNA
Rfam family: Bacterial small subunit ribosomal RNA
Source: RNAcentral